Molecule: long non-coding RNA, 1247 nt
Organism: Lolium perenne
Lineage: Eukaryota; Viridiplantae; Streptophyta; Magnoliopsida; Poales; Poaceae
Source: RefSeq, a predicted model, not a curated record
UUGUUGUGUCUGGAUACGAGCAUUUGCAUCCAAGCUGGGAUCUCCUGGUAGUUUCUUCAAUCGUGGUAGCAUUUGCAUGCCUCUGCAUCACAAAGGCACUAGAUAGUAAUGUUGAUGUGAUUUGCAUCUUGCUAAAACUAUUGUCUCUGGGAUUGCGUCUGCUAACAUUGAUUGCUGGUGAUGGAGUCGUGAUAUUAGUACUCCUAGGAUUAGCAUUACAGCAAUGUUGGCACUAUCUCCACUUCCCUCUAAAGAAUCUGCCACUCCUAGGAGUAUUGUUCAGACUUGAGAGUAGGCAGGCUUUGGUAAACAUAAUUUGUUAGUUUCUAAUUUUUCUUUAAUGGGCUCAAAACACAGGAUUUUUUGCUUCAUUUGCAUCUCUCGGUUAUCUUAAGGGUCCCAUUUGAAUGUUUUAUUAAUCCCAUGAUAUGAUUCAGUUUUGGCGCAUUUCAUUUAGAGUGGUUCUGAUAAUUAGAAUGCUAGACCGUAUUGGUUUGUAAGCUGUAAUGAUAUUCUGAUUAUCUGUUGCCAAUUUAUUUUCAACAGAACAAAAAGCUCAAGGAUGUGGAGAUUAGUUUUCUCAUCGUUUAUGGAACCAUUUCUUUUUUGGCUUUGUAAAAAAUCAAUAGAGUAAGCAUUUAUUUGAAUCUGUGGCAUAUUAUCUGUCGGUGAGUAAACACGAUAUGGUUGAUGUGCGCGUGGCAACCGCCGCCGCCGCUGCAUCUUCCCCCGACCCCGCCGCUGCCUCGCGGCCCUGAUGGAUGAUCGCCAUCCACCACUGCUCCGUCCUCUGCAGCGAGUAGGGAAGCCCCAUCGGUUGCCGUCGUCGACCUGGAAGCAGCAACAGUACAGGUUCGUCCUCAACAGCAGUACAGGCGAGACCCCGCAGAAGAACACAUACCCAUACCAGGCAGUACAUAUGUUUGCUGCGAUAAGUACAAGACAGAAGUAAAGUAUUUAAUCACCAGGGUUUGUGAGAUGAGCAGCUUAUCAUGUGGGUAAAAAAAUCAUCAUCUGGAAGCACCAGUAGUCACGUUCGGUCAGUAUACAAUGAUGUGGGCUGAUGUACAGAGGGACACGUGGGUGCCAAGAAGCUCCAGAAAUGAUGCAAGAAGAGAUCAAGCUCACAAAGCAUACACUACAGCACCAAAAAGAAUAGAUGCCAGAAUAGAUGCACCGCUCAGGAAGAAGACGUUUGGUGCGCAGUUAUGUUCUUUUGUAUCUGUAUGACAAACAGCUAUACACGA